GAAACUGGGUGUGGGCCCAGGGUCCAGGCUGACCUUGGACUAGGUGCUGCAGGAGGAGGGGGCCUCCCGCGGCCUCAACCUCAGAACACUACAGACCCGCAAGGCCCCUACCUGCCCGUCGAUGCAGCGAGCAGACCCCACAGUUUCUCCCGGCCUGUUCCCCAGUCCCUGACCCCCACCCCCCGUGGUUGAGGGUGCCCCUUUCCCUUUGGUAGACCCUGGGGGAGCCAAGCUGGUCCCAGACAGGAACUUCCUCCUUGGGGACUCCCAGCUGCCCUACCUACUCCCCCCCCCACCCCCCCAAUCCUUGGGUUCAAUGUUUACUUUCUCAUUCGGAUGCCAGCAACGAUGGAGCCUCCCAGGGUGUCCCCAGUGCGGUGGGGGCGCUGGGAAGGGUGUUUCCACUCUCGGCAGCCUUGGCCCUGCCCAGGUGUAGAGGGUGCCAGGGCCCUGAGGGCCUCCCCCAAGCCCUGCCAUUACGGGUUUGUCCGACCGUACGCAUGUGACAUUUUUUGUUGUUGAUAAGCUUCGCCCCAUUACCCUAACCCCCACACCCAUGUCACCCUGCUGGAGGCCCCCACCCAGGAGGCCAGGGCGUAUUUAUUUCCAUAGCGAGCAGGUUGUUUCUCCUAGAGAAAGGAAGAUGGUCUUGGAAAUGAUAUUAAAAUUCAGAUCUCCAUCUUGGACAGCUCCUGCCCCCACCCCACCCCAUCCUCUUCAGGGUUAAUUUCCAUGAAUUUUUUUUUUUCUCGUGUAUAAAAUCAAACUGAAGGGAAGAAAAUUAUUAUUUUGGCGUUCCGAACCAAUCCCUGUAGAUAGACUGCCAUAACAGACUACUUUUUUCUUGGGAACUUUGUUUCUUGUAGAAACAAGUGGGAAGACUUUUUUUUUCCUUCUCUCAUUUCUUUGUACUU
This 914-nucleotide long non-coding RNA is filed under the name Mus musculus (house mouse). RNAcentral describes it as "long non-coding RNA chr5:123166496-123167410". Lineage: Eukaryota; Metazoa; Chordata; Mammalia; Rodentia; Muridae. The record is from RNAcentral.